GAUGAACGCUGGCGGCAUGCUUAACACAUGCGAGUCGAACGGGAAGUGGUGUUUCCAGUGGCGAACGGGUGAGUAACGCGUAAGAACCUGCCCUUGGGAGGGGAACAACAACUGGAAACGGUUGCUAAUACCCCGUAGGCUGAGGAGCAAAAGGAGAAAUCCGCCCAAGGAGGGGCUCGCGUCUGAUUAGCUAGUUGGUGAGGUAAUAGCUUACCAAGGCGAUGAUCAGUAGCUGGUCCGAGAGGAUGAUCAGCCACACUGGGACUGAGACACGGCCCAGACUCCUACGGGAGGCAGCAGUGGGGAAUUUUCCGCAAUGGGCGAAAGCCUGACGGAGCCAUGCCGCGUGGAGGUGGAAGGCCUACGGGUCGUCAACUUCUUUUCUCGGAGAAGAAACAAUGACGGUAUCUGAGGAAUAAGCAUCGGCUAACUCUGUG
RNAcentral lists this ribosomal RNA (437 nucleotides) under uncultured bacterium. Its description in RNAcentral is "partial 16S ribosomal RNA". It matches the Rfam family "Bacterial small subunit ribosomal RNA", at positions 28 to 507 of the family's 1533-position model. The record is from RNAcentral.